This 390-nucleotide ribosomal RNA is filed under the name uncultured bacterium. RNAcentral's name for it is "bacterial SSU rRNA". It matches the Rfam family "Bacterial small subunit ribosomal RNA", at positions 28 to 416 of the family's 1533-position model. The record is from RNAcentral.
GACGAACGCUGGCGGCGUGCUUAAUACAUGCAAGUCAACUUGACUUUAGAUAGCAAUAUCGAAAAGUAGGGUGGCGCACGGGUGCGUAACGCGUAGGUAAUCUGCCCUGAGGUCUGACAUAACCCGUCGAAAGGCGGGCUAACAUCAGAUGAUAUAUAAUCACGACAUCGUGGAAAUAUCAAAUCUUCGGAGCCUUGGGAUGAGCCUGCGUCUGAUUAGGUAGUUGGCGGAGUAAUAGCCCACCAAGCCUACGAUCAGUAGCUGGUCUGAGAGGAUGAUCAGCCACACUGGAACUGAGACACGGUCCAGACUCCUACGGGAGCAGCAGUAAGGAAUAUUGCUCAAUGGGGGAAACCCUGAAGCAGCAACGCCGCGUGAAGGAUGAAAUAC